GUAGGGUGCAAGCGUUAAUCGGAAUUACUGGGCGUAAAGCGUGCGCAGGCGGUUCGGAAAGAAAGAUGUGAAAUCCCAGAGCUUAACUUUGGAACUGCAUUUUUAACUGCCGAGCUAGAGUAUGUCAGAGGGGGGUAGAAUUCCACGUGUAGCAGUGAAAUGCGUAGAGAUGUGGAGGAAUACCGAUGGCGAAGGCAGCCCCCUGGGAUAAUACUGACGCUCAUGCACGAAAGCGUGGGGAGCAAACAGGAUUAGAUACCCUGGUAGUCCACGCCCUAAACGAUGUCAACUAGCUGUUGGGGCCUUCGGGCCUUAGUAGCGCASSUAACGCGUGAAGUUGACCGCCUGGGGAGUACGGUCGCAAGAUUA
RNAcentral lists this ribosomal RNA (369 nucleotides) under uncultured bacterium. RNAcentral describes it as "bacterial SSU rRNA". It matches the Rfam family "Bacterial small subunit ribosomal RNA", at positions 527 to 896 of the family's 1533-position model. The record is from RNAcentral.